This 301-nucleotide ribosomal RNA is filed under the name uncultured bacterium. RNAcentral's name for it is "partial 16S ribosomal RNA". It matches the Rfam family "Bacterial small subunit ribosomal RNA", at positions 509 to 807 of the family's 1533-position model. The record is from RNAcentral.
CAGCAGCCGCGGUAAUGCGUAGGUGGCAAGCGUCGUCCGGAAUUAUUGGGCGUAAAGGGCUCGCAGGCGGUUUCUUAAGUCUGAUGUGAAAGCCCCCGGCCCAACCGGGGAGGGUCAUUGGAAACUGGGAAACUUGAGUGCAGAAGAGGAGAGUGGAAUUCCACGUGUAGCGGUGAAAUGCGUAGAGAUGUGGAGGAACACCAGUGGCGAAGGCGACUCUCUGGUCUGUAACUGACGCUGAGGAGCGAAAGCGUGGGGAGCAAACAGGAUUAGAGACCCCAGUAGUCCCUGUCUCUUAUAC